This 1286-nucleotide long non-coding RNA is filed under the name Rattus norvegicus (Norway rat). Its description in RNAcentral is "long non-coding RNA NONRATT017232". The record is from RNAcentral. Lineage: Eukaryota; Metazoa; Chordata; Mammalia; Rodentia; Muridae.
UAGUCUCUGUUUGUGUGGAGCGCACCUCUUAUCUCAAGUUAGGACAUUACUUUCAAAAGAGAUGCUUCAAAUAGGACGUGCAGCAGAGGCUUUGAUUCACAGUCCGAGAGCGAGGCUUCACCCGUGAAACGACCGCGACUCGUAGAGAACCCCGAGCGGCCUGAGGAGAGCGGCCGGUCGAAGCAGAAGAGCCGGCGCCGGUGCUUUCAGUGCCAGACGAAGCUGGAGCUGGUGCAGCAGGAACUGGGCUCCUGUCGCUGUGGGUACGUGUUCUGCAUGUUACAUCGCCUCCCAGAGCAGCACGACUGUACGUUCGACCACAUGGGCCGUGGCCGCGAGGAAGCCAUCAUGAAAAUGGUGAAACUGGACCGGAAAGUGGGGCGCUCCUGCCAGCGCAUCGGGGAGGGGUGCUCCUGAAGGCCAGGCACGGCCACCACACGACGCUGUUCUUAGUUCACUAAUGUUAGCCUUAUUUAGGACAAAGUCAGCCAGACACCUUGUACUGGGCACGCGUCAGACUACAGCCAGCCGUCUUCUUUCUUUAGCCAGCCAUCCUGGUACUGUAGUUUAGGGGUUGAUGGUGGAUGAAAUUGAUGUCUGGCUGGUUACUAAGGUGCCUGCUAGCCAUUGUAUAAAAUUAAAACAUGAAGACUAUUUGUUUUGAGCAUGGCUAGUGGAUUCACAACAACACAUGCCUGUCACUGCUGGAGUCGCACUUACAAAGCCUUAAGCGGAAAGUGUCCAGAGCAGACCGAGGCAGCAGGGCAGGUGCAGGCCGCGCCGCCCACGCGGGCGGCUUUGACAGAAACUCUUCCAUGUUCGGCCUUUCACCUCUUCACUUUCGCUUGGUCCCAGCAGGACCUGAUGGCCACGCGUGCCUUGGCCACAGGAAGCUGCUGAGACUGACCACGUGGCCGGGCUGGGCUGGGCCCUCACUCUCCCUCAGCUGGAAGUCAGGGUGGGGACAGAUUCUAUGGAGGAAGCUUUUGAACCUGUUGUUACGGGGAAACUCAUCACACAAGGAGAGAGACAACUCCACUUUGAAAAUUAGCUCCCCUCAAGCCUAGUCCAUGCACGGUCUCCACCUUUUCUGCACAGGAUCCGUGGUUGUGACCCGGCUCUGGCUGUCGCUUGCUGAGAGCAUUGGUGUUGCUCCUGGCAGGCCUGAGGCGUCAACCAGAUGUCCAUGGCCACGAGAGUCAGUGAGCGCACAGGGGAUCUGCUGCUGCCCUUCCUGGCAGGAGUCUCCUCUUGUUUCUAUGCAGCCAUAGUUUGAGGACAACCAG